GUGUGACAGAUAUCAUGCACAAAAUUAGUAUGUGAUUCAUGUUUUUAUCUUAUAGUCACCAUAUACUCACAAUAUUCUGGGUAGUGAAUCAGAGCUUCAGGCAGCCUGGUGUCAGAGUCUACACUUUUCAAGUUGGCAGCUCUGACAGAGUAAAGAAGAGUUUCUCAAAAUAGAGACUCCUGAACAAGAGGCCGACUUAGUGGAGCCUUAGGAAAAGAAGCUGGAAUGGAAUUAGAAGGUUUGCUAUAUGAAUGUAAAACAGUAUGUCUCAAAACCUAAGGCAGAAGAGUGAGGGCAUGGGUGAGAGGAGUAUAUCACAUUGCAAAGCCUGGAGAUGGUAUCAAGGCAAGCUUUGUACACGUGAAGAACCCUCUAGUGUUGAGAACUCAGGACACAAACUAAAGGCAGAGCACAAGGUGACUAGGGUGUGGCUCUCAGAGAGAACUUCACGGGGCAAUGUGCCAGCUCUUAAACUGUUCUUUAUAAUUCACCUUGAAAUCUUAAUUUGGCAUCAAAAUCUCUUUCCAGAGAUUUUUCAUCAAUCUUUUCUUUUCUCAUGUCAAGACAGACUGAGGCUAUUAAUCUCUCCCAGACACUGUGAUGUUUGACACAUAUUGUAUUACUAGGAUAAAUGGAAUUAUUAAUAGAAAUUCCAGGGAACCUGAAGGCUCCUGGGAAGCAUAUUUAAAAUGGAGGAGACAGGAUUAUUUUAUUUUCUGGGAAAGCUUUUAACAAAGGUACAGGGAGUACUGGGCUCACAACUUUGGCUGGGUCUGGUGCCGCACAUGGUGGAUUUGUUGUGUGUUGGCAUGUGAGUAACACUUGUUUGUUGCCAAUUUGGGUUGGAUCUUAUAUGCCCGAAGGCAGUUUCAUAUGCUCACACUACUGUUUUGGUUAGGGAGUGCGAUGGUGUUUAACUAUCAAAUUGACACAACUUAGAAUCACUUGAGUAGAGAAUCUCCAUGUGGGAUGGCCUGUGGGCAUAUGAGUGAUGACGGAGUGUUGUUUGGACUAUUUUAAUGGAUCUAUACCUACUUCCUAUCCAAAGAUGACAAAACAUGUAUGAAAGAGGGGCUAUAUUCAUCUUUGAUGUGUUCCUGGUACAGCAUCAGAUCCAUCCCCCUCCCCUUUGCGCUCACUCCACCCCUCUAUUUCUUGGUCUUUGGUUUUUCUUAUGCUUCUCCCUUACAUAUAAUACAGCAGCUGUCAUCUCUAAAAGGACGUGGUCAGAUUCUUCUAAAGAACUUUAUUCACUGUGAGAUGUUCCUAUAGUGUGCCUUACCCACUUUCUUUAAUCUUGUCCUUUCAAUUAAGUUUUGACUGAGUCUUCUACACCUGGGUUAUGUCCCCCACUUUCCCACAGAGUUCGUUCUGAUGAACAAAUUGCCUAUAUUUCUCAGGCGUGAGUGCAUUCAAGGAGUUUCAAGGGCAGUCAGUUCAUAGUUUCAUAAUAAGCUCUUCAUAUGUGAUCUGGGAAUGUUUUUGAACAGAAAAUCCUACAUUAUAACUUUUAGCAAGUUGAACCCACAUUUGGAAUAUUUGACUUUCUGGCAAAAAUCAUCUCCUUUGAUUUCUCCCAAGAAGAAGUACGGAGGCAAUGGUACAAUCUCUUCACAGUGGGCUUCUCUUUCUGACACUGCCUUUUCACUCAACCAACACAAGGAAAGUAGACAUAUCUGAAAAUGAAAUGCGGUCAUCAUCUCUCGGGCUGCACUGACUUCGAUUGAAAGCAGAAAACGUUGCCCGUGAUAAAGAAGUCAUGGCAUGAUAUAUCCUUUAUUUAAAAUGGGUCGGGAUUAAUUUAUUCUAAUAUUUGGCUGGGCUUACGAACUUCCGUCUUCUGUUUUGGGACAACCCAUGUUUACAGCCCACCCAUUAUCUGUAUAGGAAAUAGGUCAAACAGCAUUUGAGAAAGUGUUUUAAUGCAGAUUUAAACUGAUUUGUGACCAUUUUCUACUGUCUUUAUUUUUUAAAAAUUACUUUUUUUGCUAAUUCCUUGAGAAUUCAUACAAUGUGUGUUGAUCAUAUUUCCCUAAGACCUUCCAGAUCUAUCCAUCCUUAACCAACUUUGUGUCUCCCACCUCUCUCUCUAAGUCAGCUUGUGUUGUAUUCUUGAUGUAUCAGAAAUCAUCAAUCAAUAAUUUUAAAAAAAGAUCAUCCUUUACCAGGAGCUAUCAAACGUCAAUAUCUCCUCAAGUUAAGGCUAGGCCUGCAUGCACACUAUGCAGGAAUAGUCGUCUGGCUUAAGCUUGGGCAGGACUUGCAAGUGAUGUCAUAACCACUGUGCACAUAUCUACAUGUGUCCAGUUGUGUUGGGAAAACACGGAUACUGUCUUUCUUCAUUCAUCUUUCCUGCAGUCAAGUUUUAUAGCCUUGCAUCCUGUUUCCAGAGUUUUGGUCUCCAUGGAGUGAUCAGGUGCCUGCCAAUGAGUGGCAGCAUGUGGCCAUGCUGUUCCCUCCCAUGGAGACCUGGAGUCACCUCUGUCCCAGCAGGACUUUAAUAUGUUGCCUGGGAAAAUGAAGCAGAGAAUGCUGUCAGGUGUGGAGCUUGGAACUGAAAAGUCCUUUUUCAUUCUCCCUGAAAAUCAUAAACUCAUUCUCCACUUCUUGAAGCUGCCUCAGCCCUCAGAAAGCACCUACAAUUCUGGAACUCUGCUAGACCUCUGAUGCUGGUUUAUCGUUGCGGGGGCCGUCUGAAAAGAUCCUGCAUGAUGAUCUUCCCAGAUGCUUCAGCUACACAGGAAAGUAGAUGAAUCACUUCACUAACAAGGGUAUUUUCUUAACAGCAUGUAUUGAAGAGGAAGGCAGGGGAGGGAGACAGCAAUGAAAAAAGAAACCUGAUUGCUUCUGUUUGAAAUAACUAUCUGAUUAAAACAACUUCAACAAUAACCAGACAAGCAAAGAGGAAAAUAUUCUCUGUCACCAAAAAGAGGAAAAAAACACACACAACAAUUUUCACUUUGGAUGGACCAUUUCCUUUGAAAUGAAAAGAAAAAAUGAAGCAGUUACACCAUGGGUGUCCCUAGUAUAAGAUGUAUCCAACCUAUAACUUCUGAUUACUAGGAAAUUCACAGAAAGUAAAUUCAGAUAGGAUUAAGGAAGCCUCCAGGGACUAACAAGUGGGAGAAUAUUUAUCUGUUUGUACCAAAUAGUUGACUGAAUAAUGAAUAACUAUUAGCUUAAAUUGCAAGAAACACAGCCAUUUAACUGUGAUCUAACAUUUACAUUUCCUUCUUUUCUCUUUCUCAAUUGGUGUCUUUCAGAGCAUCGGGGAGAGCAUCUCACAGUGAAGAUGGUGAAGAUCGUUCUCACUGAAUAGAAGCAUUACUUUCUAGAAGGCUUCUGAUCCUUUUUUUUUUUUUUUUGCUCUCUGAAACAGCACAUGAUAGGACAUAGAUCCACAUGAAGUUACAAUAUGUGAGAACAUGAAGAACCACAAACACAAGAGAAAAUGCAUGUUUAUCUUGGGAUAUUUGUGCCUCCCAUCAUAACACACAGUCACCUCUUUUAGGUUCCAGAGCCCCACAGACCCCAAAUAUGAUUCUCAAAGCCCCUUACAUAAAAUGGCAUGGUAUAUGCUAACAGCAUAAAACCAUAUACAUCCUCCUACUUAUUUUAGGUUCUCUCUGUAUUAAUUACAAUACCUGGUACAAUAUAAAUGCUACAGAAAUGUUUUACUGUAUUGUUUAGGAAAUAAAGACACAUGCAGUAAUUUCUAUCUUCCAGCCCAACCUUGAUGGGACUCAUGUACACUUGCCUUAUGUAUGCAGAGGGCUAAAUGAAAAACAACUUGAAAUAAAACACUAGAUUCCAAGUCAGACCCAUUUUGUCUGGUCCCUAGAUUUUCUGUGGUAGAGGUUCACUUUCUAAUCACUGGUUAAUAACACUAUCCCCUCAACUACGCCCUUUGGUAAUAGACAUAUUACUAUUAAGGCAUACCUAUGCAUAUCAGCUGAUAAGUUAAAUUUAUAUUUAUAUUUAAUGUAAACAUCCUCAUUGGAGACUAAAUCUGUGGCCAGAAAGCCAUGUUCAACUUUAGAUAAUAAUUUUCUCUUACAAUAGGAUAUAUGACAAAGUCCUUCUGAAAUUGUCAUACAAAGAAGAAAGGAACAAGGUGGGACACAUAAUUGUGGAAAGACCAGAAAUAUGAUAUUGGAAAGACUGUUCUUCUGUGGAGGUGAGGAGAAAAGAGAAGAAAAGAAAAUAAUACCUUGAAACAGGUGAUGGGUCCUGAAGCAUCAUAUUCUGUUCCCUGAUUCUGGGAAAGGUAGGUAUGGAGAGCCCACCAGGAGAGACACCAUGUAG
Mesocricetus auratus (golden hamster) is the source of this 4305-nucleotide long non-coding RNA. RefSeq lists it as uncharacterized. The record is from RefSeq and is a predicted model, not a curated record. Lineage: Eukaryota; Metazoa; Chordata; Mammalia; Rodentia; Cricetidae. The transcript has 3 exons.